GUUGUAACACGGAGGUCAGAGUUCCUCCAGGUCACGUGUCAAAUGUGGUGAUAUUUUCAUUUAUUUUUCAUGGUAGUAAAAACAACAAAGACAAACAAACAAACAAACCGACGAGGUGAGCGGAGGAGGAGAACAACUUCAACUGUGUUUAUUUAUAUUCAGGUUCAGCUGCUGCUGUACAGUCAGUAAAGGCAGCAUUGGUGCCAUCUAGAGGCCUUUAUAUUAUAUUCCAACAUGAAAAAUAUAAAUACUCCGUGUAUAUGAUUUCUUCUCCGUUUAGUUGUGUUUACUUCCACCUCGUCUGCUGUUGCUACAACUUUCGGUUUGCUACGACACACGCGCCUGAGAAUGAAACGGGAGAAAAUUCUCAGGCUGUAGUUAAAAACACACACGCUGCCAUUUUGUUACAGUCCUAAAUGCCCUCAACACAGAAACAACAGCAUUUAAGUCCGUGUUACUGUGGCAACACUAAUUAAAUGUCAACGGCAGAGCAACAGUUUGGCCGGGGCUUCUGGGAAAGUCAAGGCACUUCAUCUUCUCUAAUUACAGUCAACAAAUUAAAAUAAAUGACAGUCGUAAUCCUGGUGUUCUUCGGAGGACUCUUCACUAAUCCACACCACAACAAAGACACGGACGUGUUUUGUAACAUUAUAUUUGCCAUAAACCUCUAAGGGGCGUGGCCGUACGUCCACUCGUCACGAACCACUUGGUACGUGAUGCGUGAAUCGAACGAAUUUCCGGUUUUACGCUGCAUGUCGGAUGUCUGUGUUUAGAAAUGUUCCUCUUCGGAACACUUCGGUGACGCAACACAGUCGUCGCUCGCGCGACUUGAGUCUCGAUCCUUCAGGACAUAUGCAGUAAACAUGGAGCUUAGCAGCUAAUGCUAACCUUGUGAUAAAUGUUCUACCUACAAAUGAACAUGUUUGUCAAAGAACAGUGUCUUCACCACAGCUGAGAACAACGUACGGCAGAAAUCAGACGAAUAUGAUCCGAAUACACAAACUUCACGUUCACCAGUGGAUGUUAGUUUUUUUGUUUAAAAAACAUUUAAAACAUUGUGCCUUUUGUUACAUUGACAAAUCAGUCUUUUCCGCCUUAAACUGGUUGUUGAAUUGAAUUUAUUAUGAUUCUUUUUUAAUUUCUUCUCAGUUCUUCACUGUAGCAAAAAUGUAGCGUAGCAUGAUGUCACUCCUAACAAAUGACCAGUAGUUCUCCGUAGAUGUACGGAGAAAUCCGAAGUAAUCAGUGGGUCGCCCCCUGCUGGUUAAUCGAUGAUUCGUUGGGAUGGAGUUUGAAUUCGUGGCUGUUUUCCAGGGACUUGAGAUUAAACAAUGGAGAAAUGAAACAGAGGUGGGCUGGACCACAAUCCUUUUCACUGUGGCUGAUUCAGAGGGACACCACCCAGAUAUUUAAAUCAACUGGUCGAGUUCCUAAUGGUAGCAGCACAAGAAGUGAACAUAUAUCACGUGAUAAUCAAACAUUUUUUGAUUAUCCAGGUUAAUGGCAGCUACAGGUUGUGACCCACAGACAAUAAUUCAAAGAUUUCCCUGUAUGAGAUUU
This is a long non-coding RNA of Cynoglossus semilaevis (tongue sole), 1560 nucleotides long. RefSeq lists it as uncharacterized. The record is from RefSeq and is a predicted model, not a curated record. Lineage: Eukaryota; Metazoa; Chordata; Actinopteri; Pleuronectiformes; Cynoglossidae. The transcript is spliced from 3 exons.